This is a non-coding RNA of Drosophila virilis, 1293 nucleotides long. The record is from Rfam. NCBI's taxonomy places the organism in Eukaryota, Metazoa, Arthropoda, Insecta, Diptera, Drosophilidae.
AUCGCGGCAGGUGCUCACGUUAAGCCCACCGACUUUCAUGUCCCUAUCUACUAUCUAGCGAAACCACAGCCAAGGGAACGGGCUUGGAAUAAUUAGCGGGGAAAGAAGACCCUUUUGAGCUUGACUCUAAUCUGGCAGUGUAAGGAGACAUAAGAGGUGUAGAAUAAGUGGGAGAUAUUAGACUUCGGUUUUGGUAUCGACAAUGAAAUACCACUACUCUUAUUGUUUCCUUACUUACUUGAUUAAAUGCAACGUGUAUCAUUUCCUAGCCAUUAUACGGAUAUAAUUAUUGUCUUAUGGUAUUGGGUUUUGAUGCAAGCUUCUUGAUCAAAGUAUCACGAGUUUGUUAUAUAAUCGCAAACAAAUUCUUUAAUGAGAGAAUGCAUUUAUGUAUUAUUGAUUUAAGAAUUUGGUAUAACUCCAAUUACUCAAGUAUAAUCCAAUUCAAGGACAUUGCCAGGUAGGGAGUUUGACUGGGGCGGUACAUCUCUCAAAUAUUAACGGAGGUGUCCCAAGGCCAGCUCAGUGCGGACAGAAACCACACAUAGGGCAAAAGGGCAAAUGCUGACUUGAUCUCGGUGUUCACUACACACAGGGACAGCAAAAGCUCGGCCUAUCGAUCCUUUUGGUUUAAAGAGUUAUUAACAAGAGGUGUCAGAAAAGUUACCAUAGGGAUAACUGGCUUGUGGCGGCCAAGCGUUCAUAGCGACGUCGCUUUUUGAUCCUUCGAUGUCGGCUCUUCCUAUCAUUGUGAAGCAAAAUUCACCAAGCGUUGGAUUGUUCACCCAUGCAAGGGAACGUGAGCUGGGUUAAGAGCGUCGUGAGACAGGUUAGUUUUACCCUACUAAUGACAAAACGUUGUUGCGACAGCAUUCCUGCGUAGUACGAGAGGAACCGCAGGUACGGACCAAUGGCACAAUACUUGUUCAAGCGAACAGUGGUAUGACGCUACGUCCGUUGGAUUAUGCCUGAAAGCCUCUAAGGUCGUAUCCGUGCUGGACUGCAAUGAUAAAUAAGGGGCAAUUUGCAUUGUAUGGCUUCUAAACCAUUAAAAGUUUUUAAUUUGUUUUAUUAACGAAAAUGGAUGUGAUGCCAAUGUUAUUUAUAACAUAGUAAAUUGGGAGGAUCUUCGAUCACCUGAUGCCGCGCUAGUUAUAUUUUAAAGCAUUAUUUAAUACAAUGUGAAAGCCUAGAAUCAAUUGUAAGCGACUUUUGUAACAGGCAAGGUGUUGUAAGUGGUUGAGCAGCUGCCAUACUGCGAUCCACUGAAGCUUAUCCUUUGCUUGAUGAUUC